GACGAACGCUGGCGGCGUGCUUAACACAUGCAAGUCGAGCGGUAAGGCCCUUUCGGGGGUACACGAGCGGCGAACGGGUGAGUAACACGUGGGUGACCUGCCCUCAGCUCUGGGAUAAGCCUGGGAAACCGGGUCUAAUACUGGAUAUGACUCCAUGACGCAUGUUGUGGGUGGAAAGCCUUGUGCGGCUGAGGAUGGGCCCGCGGCCUAUCAGCUUGUUGGUGGGG
Molecule: ribosomal RNA, 227 nt
Filed under: uncultured bacterium
Lineage: Bacteria
Description: partial 16S ribosomal RNA
Rfam family: Bacterial small subunit ribosomal RNA
Source: RNAcentral